CCUACGGGAGGCAGCAGUGGGGAAUAUUGGGCAAUGGAGGCAACUCUGACCCAGCAACGCCGCGUGAAUGAUGAAGGUCUUCGGAUUGUAAAGUUCUUUUCUAAGGGAAGAAGAAAGUGACGUUACCUUAGGAAUAAGCCUCGGCUAACUACGUGCCAGCAGCAGCGGUAAUACGUAGGAGGCAAGCGUUAUACGGAAUGACUGGGCGUAAAGGGUGCGUAGGUGGUUUGACAAGUUAGUAGCGAAACUCCGGGGCUCAACUUCGGAACUACUACUAAAACUGUUGGACUGGAGUGCAGGAGGGGAAAGCGGAAUUCCGAGUGUAGCGGUGAAAUGCGUAGAUAUUAGGAGGAACACCAGUGGCGAAGGCGGAUUGCUAGACUGUAACUGACGCUGAGGCACGAAAGCGUGGGGAGCAAACAGGAUUAGAUACCCUAGUAGUC
This 443-nucleotide ribosomal RNA is filed under the name uncultured bacterium. RNAcentral describes it as "partial 16S ribosomal RNA". It matches the Rfam family "Bacterial small subunit ribosomal RNA", at positions 338 to 795 of the family's 1533-position model. The record is from RNAcentral.